This 253-nucleotide ribosomal RNA is filed under the name uncultured bacterium. RNAcentral's name for it is "partial 16S ribosomal RNA". It matches the Rfam family "Archaeal small subunit ribosomal RNA", at positions 474 to 727 of the family's 1478-position model. The record is from RNAcentral.
UACCCGCAGCACAAGUGGUGGUCAUUAUUAUUGGGCCUAAAGCGUCCGUAGCUGGCUUGUUAGAUGCCUGGGUAAAUCGAUGCGCUCAACGUAUCGAAUUCCGGGUAGACCGGCAAGCUCGAGACCGGGAGAGGUGUAGGCUACUCGAGGGGUAGGGGUAAAAUCCUGUAAUCCUUCGGGGAGGACCAGUGGCGAAGGCGCUACACUAGAACGGCUCCGACAGUGAGGGACGAAGCCCUGGGGCGCAAACCGG